GCUUUUGGGGAAACAGCACAUCACGGCUUAGUACUUGUUGUUCUGAAAUCCAAAUGUAGCUGGGCAUCCUGUAUGUUUACUUGCUAAAUCUGGCAUUCCUGAGUGAGGAAAAGAUGGUGACAAAGAGCAGCAUAUCUCUUUCUAGAACCUUCGGUUGGGGCAGAGACCCAGGGUGUAAACCUAACACCCCUGCCAGUCUCCAGCCAGAAACCACGGGAGAAACCACCUGGCUUCAGCCCCAGACGCAUUGCCAGGGAGUUUUUUUGAAGCUUCACUCUUUUCCUCACCGGCUCCGGAAAGUGUCUGCUUGUGAGCCUUGGGCCCUUUCCCCCUCUGGGCUGUCAGGACCCUGCCUUCCCAGCCGCUACCUUGGAUAAAAGGCUUUAUUAAAUCAGGCAAACGUCAGCCCCACAGCUCAGUCGUAAGUUAACCAGCCGACGGGGGAGGAUGGAGAAAAGUCCCCUCCUGGUCCCUCGGCAUAAAGGGAGGCCCAGGGGAUGGAGGCAGAGGGGACAGUCCCCAGGCCCUGGCCCUGAUUUUCAGGUGGCCACUGGUCAGAACUGUCAGCUGUGCCUGUCCCCCAGACUGCAAAUUGAAAACAGCAAAUGUAGCUCUAUUCUUUUUUAUUUUCCUCCCCCCUCCAUCUCUGCCCCUUUUCUCUUGUUUCUUUCUUUCUUUUCUUUUUUUUUGUCAAUGAGGAAUACAAGGCCACUGCCAAAAACAUAUCCCACACAAUCAAACAUCAGAUGGUGACUCCUUUCCCACAGCUUGUGAGAAAUGCUCCUUCAGAACUCGAUCUUGAAGGGUACAGUAAAAGACAGACGCACGCACACACAGACGCCCACAAACCUUCAGCCUGAGGCGGAGACUUCCAUAAGUCUGGGUCCCUGCCCCCUGUGUCUUCAAACUUUCUGAGCGGCUUGGGAGGAUUCCAUAUUUCCAACUUCAGC
Molecule: long non-coding RNA, 950 nt
Filed under: Homo sapiens (human)
Lineage: Eukaryota; Metazoa; Chordata; Mammalia; Primates; Hominidae
Description: HSALNT0403812
Source: RNAcentral